GGACAACAGAUAUUCUAUGGACAAGCCCCACCUGCUAUCAUACCUCCUCAGCCUGGAUUUGGAUAUCAGCAGCAGCUUGUACCUGGUAUGAGGCCUGGUGGGGCUCCUUUGCCAAAUUUCUUUGUGCCAAUGGUUCAUCAGGGGCAGCAGGGACAGCGUCCUGGUGGUCGACGGGCUGGAGCUGCUCAGCAAUCCCAGCAG
Molecule: unclassified non-coding RNA, 201 nt
Filed under: Hevea brasiliensis (rubber tree)
Lineage: Eukaryota; Viridiplantae; Streptophyta; Magnoliopsida; Malpighiales; Euphorbiaceae
Source: RNAcentral